This 388-nucleotide ribosomal RNA is filed under the name uncultured bacterium. RNAcentral's name for it is "bacterial SSU rRNA". It matches the Rfam family "Bacterial small subunit ribosomal RNA", at positions 32 to 412 of the family's 1533-position model. The record is from RNAcentral.
AAUCAACGCUGGCGGCGUGCCUAACACAUGCAAGUCGAACGCGAAAGUCUCUUCGGAGGCGAGUAGAGUGGCGUACGGGUGAGUAACGCGUGGGUAAUCUGCCCUUGGGUGGGGAAGUAACCAGUCGAAAGAUUGGCUAAUACCGCAUAAUGCAGCGGCUCGAUAUCGAGACAGUUGUUAAAGCAGCAAUGCGCCUGAGGAGGAGCCUGCGGCUGAUAGCUUGUUGGUGAGGUAAUGGCUCACCAAGGCUGCGAUCAGUAGCUGGCCUGAGAGGACGGCCAGCCACAAUGGCACUGGAACACGGGCCAUACUCCUACGGGAGGCAGCAGUGGGGAAGUCUUGCGCAAUGGGCGAAAGCCUGACGCAGCCAUGCCGCGUGAAUGAUGAA